AUAAUUUGCAUACAAACUAUGAUCAUGAAUGUGGUUUUCCCGGGGUGAGGCUCAUCCAUUGCACUCUGGGUGUGCUGGUCCCUACAAUGUCCCCAAAUGUGGAAAACCCAACUGCAUAAUUUGCAUU
Anolis carolinensis (green anole) is the source of this 127-nucleotide small nuclear RNA. Its record names the gene U1. It matches the Rfam family "U1 spliceosomal RNA". Rfam says of the family: U1 is a small nuclear RNA (snRNA) component of the spliceosome (involved in pre-mRNA splicing). Its 5' end forms complementary base pairs with the 5' splice junction, thus defining the 5' donor site of an intron. There are significant differences in sequence and secondary structure between metazoan and yeast U1 snRNAs, the latter being much longer (568 nucleotides as compared to 164 nucleotides in human). Lineage: Eukaryota; Metazoa; Chordata; Lepidosauria; Squamata; Anolidae. The record is from Ensembl.